GCGGGAGUAACUCAGUGGUAGAGUGCAACCUUGCCAAGGUUGAGGUCGAGGGUUCAAAUCCCUUCUCCCGCUCCA
RNAcentral lists this transfer RNA (75 nucleotides) under Nitrospina gracilis Nb-211. RNAcentral's name for it is "tRNA-Gly". It matches the Rfam family "tRNA". Rfam says of the family: Transfer RNA (tRNA) molecules are approximately 80 nucleotides in length. Their secondary structure includes four short double-helical elements and three loops (D, anti-codon, and T loops). Further hydrogen bonds mediate the characteristic L-shaped molecular structure. tRNAs have two regions of fundamental functional importance: the anti-codon, which is responsible for specific mRNA codon recognition, and the 3' end, to which the tRNAs corresponding amino acid is attached (by aminoacyl-tRNA synthetases). tRNAs cope with the degeneracy of the genetic code in two manners: having more than one tRNA (with a specific anti-codon) for a particular amino acid; and 'wobble' base-pairing, i.e. permitting non-standard base-pairing at the 3rd anti-codon position. The record is from RNAcentral. RNAcentral also lists the same sequence under 11 other names. Lineage: Bacteria; Pseudomonadati; Nitrospinota; Nitrospinia; Nitrospinales; Nitrospinaceae.